This 253-nucleotide ribosomal RNA is filed under the name uncultured bacterium. RNAcentral's name for it is "partial 16S ribosomal RNA". It matches the Rfam family "Bacterial small subunit ribosomal RNA", at positions 524 to 776 of the family's 1533-position model. The record is from RNAcentral.
UACGAGGGGGGCAAGCGUUGUUCGGAAUUAUUGGGCGUAAAGGGCGCGUAGGCGGUGCGGUAAGUCACCUGUGAAACCUCUAGGCUCAACCUAGAGCCUGCAGGCGAAACUGCCGUGCUUGAGGGUGGGAGAGGUGAGUGGAGUUCCCGGUGUAGCGGUGAAAUGCGUAGAUAUCGGGAGGAACACCUGUGGCGAAAGCGGCUCACUGGACCACAACUGACGCUGAGGCGCGAAAGCUAGGGGAGCAAACAGG